GUAAAUUUCGUUAUGUUCGUAAAAUAACUGUAAUUAUGGUAAC
RNAcentral lists this small nuclear RNA (43 nucleotides) under Arabidopsis thaliana (thale cress). Its description in RNAcentral is "ncRNA (U5.11)". Lineage: Eukaryota; Viridiplantae; Streptophyta; Magnoliopsida; Brassicales; Brassicaceae. The record is from RNAcentral.